RNAcentral lists this ribosomal RNA (603 nucleotides) under uncultured bacterium. Its description in RNAcentral is "bacterial SSU rRNA". It matches the Rfam family "Bacterial small subunit ribosomal RNA", at positions 521 to 1123 of the family's 1533-position model. The record is from RNAcentral.
UAAUACGUAGGGGGCGAGCGUUGUCCGGAAUGACUGGGCGUAAAGGGCGUGUAGGCGGUCUGAUAAGUCUGGAGUGAAAGUCCUGCAUUUAAUGUGGGAAUUGCUUUGGAUACUGGCGGGCUUGAGUGCGGAAGAGGUAAGUGGAAUUCCCAGUGUAGCGGUGAAAUGCGUAGAGAUUGGGAGGAACACCAGUGGCGAAGGCGACUUACUGGGCCGUAACUGACGCUGAGGCGCGAAAGCGUGGGGAGCGAACAGGAUUAGAUACCCUGGUAGUCCACGCGGUAAACGAUGAAUGCUAGGUGUAGGGGGUAUCGACCCCUCCUGUGCCGGAGUAAACGCAAUAAGCAUUCCGCCUGGGGAGUACGGCCGCAAGGUUGAAACUCAAAGGAAUUGACGGGGGCCCGCACAAGCAGCGGAGCAUGUGGUUUAAUUCGACGCAACGCGAAGAACCUUACCAGGUCUUGACAUCGAUGUAAAGCCCAAGAGAUUGGGUGACUCUUCGGAGGACAGAAGACAGGUGGUGCAUGGUUGUCGUCAGCUCGUGUCGUGAGAUGUUGGGUUAAGUCCCGCAACGAGCGCAACCCUUAUGAUCAGUUACUAACC